Molecule: ribosomal RNA, 231 nt
Filed under: uncultured bacterium
Lineage: Bacteria
Description: partial 16S ribosomal RNA
Rfam family: Bacterial small subunit ribosomal RNA
Source: RNAcentral
GACGAACCGUGCGAACGUUAUUCGGAAUCACUGGGCUUAAAGCGCGUGUAGGCGGGACGGCACGUCGGUCGCUGAAAUCCCCCGGCUCAACCGAGGAACGGGCGCCGAUACGACCGCCCUGGAGGGGCGUAGGGGGACCUGGAACUUCCGGUGGAGCGGUGAAAUGCGUUGAGAUCGGAAGGAACGCCCGUGGCGAAAGCGAGGUCCUGGACGCCUACUGACGCUGAGGUG